This 253-nucleotide ribosomal RNA is filed under the name uncultured bacterium. Its description in RNAcentral is "partial 16S ribosomal RNA". It matches the Rfam family "Bacterial small subunit ribosomal RNA", at positions 524 to 776 of the family's 1533-position model. The record is from RNAcentral.
UACGGAGGAUGCAAGCGUUAUCCGGAAUGAUUGGGCGUAAAGCGUCCGCAGGUGGCUGUGUAAGUCUGCUGUUAAAGCGUCAUGCUCAACAUGAUAAGAGCAGUGGAAACUACACGGCUAGAGUGCGUUCGGGGCAGAGGGAAUUCCUGGUGUAGCGGUGAAAUGCGUAGAGAUCAGGAAGAACACCGGUGGCGAAAGCGCUCUGCUAGGCCGCAACUGACACUGAGGGACGAAAGCUAGGGGAGCGAAUGGG